RNAcentral lists this small RNA (30 nucleotides) under Bombyx mori (domestic silkworm). RNAcentral describes it as "ovarian small RNA-25455". The record is from RNAcentral. Lineage: Eukaryota; Metazoa; Arthropoda; Insecta; Lepidoptera; Bombycidae.
UCACUGGUACAAAAUUAAAAAAAAUCAAAU